This 379-nucleotide ribosomal RNA is filed under the name Epyris sp. Its description in RNAcentral is "partial large subunit ribosomal RNA". Lineage: Eukaryota; Metazoa; Arthropoda; Insecta; Hymenoptera; Bethylidae. The record is from RNAcentral.
UAUGAUUAAUUUUAAAUGGCUGCAGUAUUUUAACUGUACAAAGGUAGCAUAAUAAUUUGUUUUUUAAAUGAAAACUAGAAUGAAAGAGGUGAUGAAAUAUUAACUUUAUUUAAUUAAUAUUUUUAAUUUUAUUUUUAAGUUAAAAAGCUUAAAUUUUUUUAUGGGACGAGAAGACCCUGUAGAAUUUUAUAUAAAAUUAAUUAUUUAUAUAAUAAUUAAUUAAUAUUUUUUUGGGAGGAAAAUUAAAAUUUAAAGACUUUAAUUUAUUGAUUACAUAUAUUUAUGGAUUUAGUGAUUUUAUUUGUUUAAAUAUAAGUUUAAAUUACCUCAGGGAUAACAGCGUAAUAUUUUUUAAAAGUUCUUAUUGAAAAAAAUGUUU